GGGGAAUAUUGGACAAUGGGGGCAACCCUGAUCCAGCCAUGCCGCGUGAGUGAUGAAGGCCCUAGGGUUGUAAAGCUCUUUUGUGCGGGAAGAUAAUGACGGUACCGCAAGAAUAAGCCCCGGCUAACUUCGUGCCAGCAGCCGCGGUUUAAUACGAAGGGGGCUAGCGUUGCUCGGAAUCACUGGGCGUAAAGGGUGCGUAGGCGGGUUUCUAAGUCAGAGGUGAAAGCCUGGAGCUCAACUCCAGAACUGCCUUUGAUACUGGAAGUCUUGAGUUCGGGAGAGGUGAGUGGAACUGCGAGUGUAGAGGUGAAAUUCGUAGAUAUUCGCAAGAACACCAGUGGCGAAGGCGGCUCACUGGCCCGAUACUGACGCUGAGGCACGAAAGCGUGGGGAGCAAACA
Molecule: ribosomal RNA, 403 nt
Filed under: uncultured Bradyrhizobiaceae bacterium
Lineage: Bacteria; Pseudomonadati; Pseudomonadota; Alphaproteobacteria; Hyphomicrobiales; Nitrobacteraceae
Description: bacterial SSU rRNA
Rfam family: Bacterial small subunit ribosomal RNA
Source: RNAcentral